ACGAACGCUGGCGGCGUGCUUAACACAUGCAAGUCGAACGGAAAGGCCCUGCUUUUGUGGGGUGCUCGAGUGGCGAACGGGUGAGUAACACGUGAGUAACCUGCCCUUGACUUUGGGAUAACUUCAGGAAACUGGGGCUAAUACCGGAUAGGAGCUCCUGCUGCAUGGUGGGGGUUGGAAAGUUUCGGCGGUUGGGGAUGGACUCGCGGCUUAUCAGCUUGUUGGUGGGGUAGUGGCUUACCAAGGCUUUGACGGGUAGCCGGCCUGAGAGGGUGACCGGCCACAUUGGGACUGAGAUACGGCCCAGACUCCUACGGGAGGCAGCAGUGGGGAAUAUUGCACAAUGGGCGGAAGACUGAUGCAGCAACGCCGCGUGCGGGAUGACGGCCUUCGGGUUGUAAACCGCUUUCGCCUGUGACGAAGCGUGAGUGACGGUAAUGGGUAAAGAAGCACCGGCUAACUACGU
This 466-nucleotide ribosomal RNA is filed under the name uncultured bacterium. Its description in RNAcentral is "partial 16S ribosomal RNA". It matches the Rfam family "Bacterial small subunit ribosomal RNA", at positions 29 to 506 of the family's 1533-position model. The record is from RNAcentral.